RNAcentral lists this ribosomal RNA (253 nucleotides) under uncultured bacterium. Its description in RNAcentral is "partial 16S ribosomal RNA". It matches the Rfam family "Bacterial small subunit ribosomal RNA", at positions 524 to 776 of the family's 1533-position model. The record is from RNAcentral.
GACAGAGGGUGCAAACGUUGUUCGGAAUUACUGGGCGUAAAGCGUGUGUAGGCGGUUCGGUAAGUCGGGUGUGAAAGCCCCGGGCUCAACCCGGGAAGUGCACUCGAUACUGCCAAGCUAGAGUAUCGGAGAGGUUGGUGGAAUUCUCGGUGUAGAGGUGAAAUUCGUAGAUAUCGAGAGGAACACCGGUGGCGAAGGCGGCCAACUGGACGAAUACUGACGCUGAGACACGAAAGCGUGGGGAGCAAACAGG